RNAcentral lists this ribosomal RNA (119 nucleotides) under Betta splendens (Siamese fighting fish). The record is from RNAcentral. Lineage: Eukaryota; Metazoa; Chordata; Actinopteri; Anabantiformes; Osphronemidae.
GCUUGCGGCCGUACCACCCUGAACAAGCCCGAUCUCGUCUGAUCUCGGAGGCUAAGCAGUGUCGGGCCUGGUUAGUACUUGGAUGGGAGACCGCCUGGGAAUACCAGGUGCUGUAAGCU